CUCCACAUCCUUUCCCAUCACCACAUUCUCUCCAUGUCCAUCCCCAUGUCCUCCCCAUCUCCAUGUCCUUCUCCAUCUCCAUGUCCUUCCUGUAUCCAUCUCCACAUCCUCCCCAUCUCCAUCUCCUUUUCCUCCUCACCUCCACGUCCAUCUCCAUGUCCUCCCCAUGUUUAUCUCCAUUUCCCUUCCAUCUCCACGUCCAUCUCCACGUCCUUUCCCAUCACCACGUCCUCCCCACGUCCCUCCCCAUCUCCAUGUCCUUCCUGUAUCCACCUCCAUGUCCUUCCCAUGUCCAUCUCCUUUUCCUCCCCAAAUCCAUGUCCUCCCCCUGUCCAUCUCCACGUCCUUCCCCAUGUCCUCCCCAUGUCCAUCUCCACGUCCUCCUCCACCUCCACGUCCUCCCCACGUCCAUCUCCUUUCCCUCCCCACCUCCACGUCCUGCCCCAUGCCCUCCCCACGUCCUCUCCACCUCCACACCUGUCCGACCCCACAUCCAGCCCCACUCAAUCCCACGUCCAUCCUCAUGCCCUCCCCUUGUCCAGCUCCAUGUCCCACCCCGCGUCCUCCCCAUGUCCUGCCCCGUUCUAUUCCAUGCCCACCUUCAUGUCCUCCCCCAUGUCCAUCCCCAUGUCCCACCCCACGUCCACGUCCUACCCCAUAUCCUGUCCCAUAUCCAUCCCCAUGUCCUACCCUAUGUCCUGCCCCAUAUUCAUCCCCAUAUCCAUCCCCAUAUCCUCCCCAUGUCCUCCCCAUGUUCUACCCCAUGUUCUCCCCAUAUCCAUGUGCAUCCCAUAUCCGUCUCCAUGUCCUCUCCAUGUCCUACCCCAUAUCCCACCCCAUAUCCAUCCCUAUAUCUUCCCCAUGUCCUACCCCAUGUCCUCCCCAUAUCCAUCCCCAUAUCCUAUCCCAUAUCCAUCCCCAUAUCCUACCCCCAUCCAUCCCCAUAUCCUACCCCAUAUCCCACCCCAUAUCCAUCCCCGUGUCCUCCCCAUAUCCAUCCCCUAUCCUUCCCAUCUCCAUCUCCAUCUCCACCUCCAUCCCCACAUCCUAGCCCAUCUCCAUCCCCAUGUCCCACCCCAUAUCCGUCCCCACAUCCUGCCCCAUAUCCAUCCCUAUAUCCUCCCCAUGUCCUCCCCAUAUCCAUCCCCAUAUCCCACCCCAUAUCCAUCCCCAUGUCCUCCCAUGCCAUCCCCAUAUCCUAUCCCAUAUUCAUCCCCAUGUCCUACCCCACAUCCCACCCCAUAUCCUCCCCGUAUC
RNAcentral lists this long non-coding RNA (1257 nucleotides) under Phasianus colchicus (ring-necked pheasant). RNAcentral's name for it is "lncRNA (ENSPCLG00000011203.1)". Lineage: Eukaryota; Metazoa; Chordata; Aves; Galliformes; Phasianidae. The record is from RNAcentral.